Molecule: long non-coding RNA, 687 nt
Filed under: Nicotiana benthamiana
Lineage: Eukaryota; Viridiplantae; Streptophyta; Magnoliopsida; Solanales; Solanaceae
Description: long non-coding RNA (NBEN_LNC041062)
Source: RNAcentral
ACCUAUGUAAAAUAUAACAGAAUUCGUCCAAUGAGAUGGAGUAGUCCAAGUAAGUUCAGUUUUGAUCUCAAACAGUGGGAAAAUAAAAUCAAAGGCUGUCGUUGAUGCUGAUUUACAAGAAGCAACCAGAAUGAGACUUAGUGAAAGUUAAAAAAACAGCCAAGAGAUUACAGUUGUCAUAAGUGUGAGAAGUAUAAUGGAAAUAAUCAUGAUUCCUGACUCAAAUGAACAAGGUGGUGAUAACAUGUUCUAGUUGAAUGCUAAUUACUGAUGAUUGAAGAAACUAUAGCUCCCUAGUUAAGAAAAUUGUAAUCUACACAUUUACACAAUGCAAAAUAAACGCUAGUUACCUGUGCAGCAAUGCGGUCUAUGGUAUCAGCAGAGGAAUUGAAGGUCUUCAGGAGAUAAUCAGUACCCCACUUAAUAAUAUUUAAAGAUCAAAAGAGAAUUGAAGGUCUUCAGGAGAUAAUCAGUACCCCACUUAAUAAUAUCUUUAACAUGAGCGAGCUCACCAGCAGCUUCAUAUUUUGCACUAUACUCGAUCACACUCCAACUUAACAUGGUGAGAGCAAACGACUGAGGGAAAUUAAACUUGAUUGCAUCUCCUGCAUCAUAAUAUCCCCCAACCAAAUUUUUGAACAUAGUUGAAUCAUCUGACUGGCCAUCUUUUAAACAUGAAUUCCCUCU